RNAcentral lists this ribosomal RNA (301 nucleotides) under uncultured bacterium. RNAcentral describes it as "partial 16S ribosomal RNA". It matches the Rfam family "Bacterial small subunit ribosomal RNA", at positions 509 to 809 of the family's 1533-position model. The record is from RNAcentral.
CAGCAGCCACGGUAAUACGGAGGGGGCUAGCGUUGUUCGGAAUUACUGGGCGUAAAGCGCACGUAGGCGGCUUGGUAAGUUAGAGGUGAAAGCCUGGAGCUCAACUCCAGAAUUGCCUUUAAGACUGCCGAGCUAGCAGGUGAGAGAGGUAAGUGGAAUUCCGAGUGUAGAGGUGAAAUUCGUAGAUAUUCGGAAGAACACCAGUGGCGAAGGCGGCUUACUGGCUCAUACUGGACGCUGAGGUGCGAAAGCGUGGGGAGCAAACAGGAUUAGAUACCCCAGUAGUCCCUGUCUCUUAUAA